RNAcentral lists this transfer RNA (77 nucleotides) under Klebsiella pneumoniae. Its description in RNAcentral is "tRNA-Pro". It matches the Rfam family "tRNA". From Rfam's summary of the family: Transfer RNA (tRNA) molecules are approximately 80 nucleotides in length. Their secondary structure includes four short double-helical elements and three loops (D, anti-codon, and T loops). Further hydrogen bonds mediate the characteristic L-shaped molecular structure. tRNAs have two regions of fundamental functional importance: the anti-codon, which is responsible for specific mRNA codon recognition, and the 3' end, to which the tRNAs corresponding amino acid is attached (by aminoacyl-tRNA synthetases). tRNAs cope with the degeneracy of the genetic code in two manners: having more than one tRNA (with a specific anti-codon) for a particular amino acid; and 'wobble' base-pairing, i.e. permitting non-standard base-pairing at the 3rd anti-codon position. The record is from RNAcentral. RNAcentral also lists the same sequence under 40 other names. Lineage: Bacteria; Pseudomonadati; Pseudomonadota; Gammaproteobacteria; Enterobacterales; Enterobacteriaceae.
CUCCGUAUAGCUCAGUCUGGUAGAGCGCUCCAUUUGGGAUGGAGAGGUCGAAUGUUCGAGUCAUUCUAUGGAGACCA